GGCAGCACGGAGCUUGCUCUGGUGGCGAGUGGCGAACGGGCGAGUAAUAUAUCGGAACGUACCCUGGAGUGGGGGAUAACGUAGCGAAAGUUACGCUAAUACCGCAUACGAUCUAAGGAUGAAAGUGGGGGAUCGCAAGACCUCAUGCUCGUGGAGCGGCCGAUAUCUGAUUAGCUAGUUGGUAGGGUAAAAGCCUACCAAGGCAUCGAUCAGUAGCUGGUCUGAGAGGACGACCAGCCACACUGGAACUGAGACACGGUCCAGACUCCUACGGGAGGCAGCAGUGGGGAAUUUUGGACAAUGGGCGCAAGCCUGAUCCAGCAAUGCCGCGUGAGUGAAGAAGGCCUUCGGGUUGUAAAGCUCUUUUGUCAGGGAAGAAACGGUGGGAGCUAAUAUCUCCUGCUAAUGACGGUACCUGAAGAAUAAGCACCGGCUAACUACGUGCCAGCAGCCGCGGUAAUACGUAGGGUGCAAGCGUUAAUCGGAAUUACUGGGCGUAAAGCGUGCGCAGGCGGUUUUGUAAGUCUGAUGUGAAAUCCCCGGGCUCAACCUGGGAAUUGCAUUGGAGACUGCAAGGCUAGAAUCUGGCAGAGGGGGGUAGAAUUCCACGUGUAGCAGUGAAAUGCGUAGAUAUGUGGAGGAAUACCGAUGGCGAAGGCAGCCCCCUGGGUCAAGAUUGACGCUCAUGCACGAAAGCGUGGGGAGCAAACAGGAUUAGAUACCCUGGUAGUCCACGCCCUAAACGAUGUCUACUAGUUGUCGGGUCUUAAUUGACUUGGUAACGCAGCUAACGCGUGAAGUAGACCGCCUGGGGAGUACGGUCGCAAGAUUAAAACUCAAAGGAAUUGACGGGGACCCGCACAAGCGGUGGAUGAUGUG
RNAcentral lists this ribosomal RNA (879 nucleotides) under uncultured Janthinobacterium sp. Its description in RNAcentral is "bacterial SSU rRNA". It matches the Rfam family "Bacterial small subunit ribosomal RNA", at positions 68 to 943 of the family's 1533-position model. The record is from RNAcentral. Lineage: Bacteria; Pseudomonadati; Pseudomonadota; Betaproteobacteria; Burkholderiales; Oxalobacteraceae.